CCGUGGGGAUUCGUCCCCAUUGAGAUAGCACCCUUUGUUCAUGAGUACCCUCGUUUCCUCGGCGGGCUUGCCCGCCAGUAGGACAAAACAAAAACCCUUUUGCAGUAGCAGUAACUUCAGUUAAUAAACAAAUAUUA
RNAcentral lists this unclassified non-coding RNA (137 nucleotides) under uncultured Pleosporales. The record is from RNAcentral. Lineage: Eukaryota; Fungi; Ascomycota; Dothideomycetes; Pleosporales.